Molecule: long non-coding RNA, 720 nt
Organism: Linepithema humile (Argentine ant)
Lineage: Eukaryota; Metazoa; Arthropoda; Insecta; Hymenoptera; Formicidae
Source: RefSeq, a predicted model, not a curated record
UAUUAGAGUUGUUGACAUAUACUUAAUAUCUAGUCAUAGCUCUUGGGCAAUUUUCAAUAUUUUCGAAUUUUAACUUCAGCACAUUCAGAUUCUUAAGGAGGAGAAAGCCACAAAGGCACAUGGUUAAUAAGAAAAGAUAUUCAAACUUUUAGAUCCAGAUGAAUUCUUCCGCAUAUGCGUGCAACAUAUGCAAUAUGGAAUGGUGUGUAAGAAACUGUUGUCACCUUGAUUGCAACCAUAAAUUUCACGACGAUUGUAUGUUGACGGCAGUAAAAUCGACGCUGACUGAGGCGCAAACGGAAAGAUUAGCGUAUCUUGAAGAACGAUUAGCGCUCACUUCAGUUUUACUUGAAAGCUUUAACCCGAUGACGUUGAUACUACAACAUUUCUACGCAGAUUAUGAGCAGUUGUCCAAUUACAAGAAAGUAAUCCAGAGAGAGAUCGAUGAAUUGAUUUUGAUAUGUCCGUGCUGUCAGAGACGUCCAAGUACAGUAAUACGGUUCAAGUUCUAGAAUCCGUCCAUUGUGAAUUAUUCAUCUUCUUAUACAUCUUUUUAUAUAUCUUCUUAUACAUCUCUUAUAUAUCUUCUUAUAUAUCUCAAUGAUAAAGAAAUGGACGAAAUUUGUAAAAUUUGUGACAAAGCUUCUACGAAUGUUAGAUGUUUUUGUCUCAUAUUACAGACAAUUUUGAUAUAUUUUAAAAUACUUACAAUUAUAUAAU